RNAcentral lists this ribosomal RNA (593 nucleotides) under uncultured bacterium. Its description in RNAcentral is "bacterial SSU rRNA". It matches the Rfam family "Bacterial small subunit ribosomal RNA", at positions 338 to 1331 of the family's 1533-position model. The record is from RNAcentral.
CCUACGGGAGGCAGCAGUGGGGAAUAUUGGACAAUGGGCGAAAGCCUGAUCCAGCAAUGCCGCGUGAGUGAUGAAGGCCUUAGGGUUGUAAAGCUCUUUUACCAGGGAUGAUAAUGACAGUACCUGGAGAAUAAGCUCCGGCUAACUCCGUGCCAGCAGCCGCGGUAAUACGGAGGGAGCUAGCGUUGUUCGGAAUUACUGGGCGUAAAGCGUACGUAGGCGGUUAUUCAAGUCAGAGGUGAAAGCCCGGGGCUCAACCCCGGAACUGCCUUUGAAACUAGAUAGCUAGAAUCUUGGAGAGGUUAGUGGAAUUCCGAGUGUAGAGGUGAAAUUCGUAGAUAUUCGGAAGAACACCAGUGGCGAAGGCGACUAACUGGACAAGUAUUGACGCUGAGGUACGAAAGCGUGGGGAGCAAACAGGAUUAGAUACCCUGGUAGUCCACGCCGUAAACGAUGAUAACUAGUUGUUCGGGCACUUGGUGCCUGAGUGACGCAGCUAACGCAUUAAGUUAUCCGCCUGGGGAGUACGGUCGCAAGAUUAAAACUCAAAGUAUAUAGGACGUGNGAGAGCGACGACGACGACGACGGAGGAG